GGAAGUCAUCCGGCUGGAUGAGGAAACUGUCUUGAAAACAGCUGACGGCAUGUCCGUUUGUGGGUUCGAGUCCCACGGCUUCCGCC
RNAcentral lists this transfer RNA (86 nucleotides) under Bremerella volcania. RNAcentral's name for it is "tRNA-Ser". Lineage: Bacteria; Pseudomonadati; Planctomycetota; Planctomycetia; Pirellulales; Pirellulaceae. The record is from RNAcentral.